This 2765-nucleotide long non-coding RNA is filed under the name Salmo salar (Atlantic salmon). RNAcentral describes it as "lncRNA (ENSSSAG00000102842.1, ENSSSAG00000111594.1)". The record is from RNAcentral. Lineage: Eukaryota; Metazoa; Chordata; Actinopteri; Salmoniformes; Salmonidae.
CUGUAACUAGCCUGGGGAGAGACAUGUUGUCUGUAACCUGUAACUAGCCUAGGGAGAGACAUGUUGUCUGUAAACUGUAACUAGCCUGGGGAGAGACAUGUUGUCUGUAACCUGUAUCUAGCCUAGGGAGAGACAUGUUGUCUGUAACCUGUAACUAGCCUGGGGAGAGACAUGUUGUCUGUAACCUGUAACUAGCCUGGGGAGAGACAUGUUGUCUGUAACCUGUAACUAGCCUAGGGAGAGACAUGUUGUCUGUAACCUGUAUCUAGCCUAGGGAGAGACAUGUUGUCUGUAACCUGUAACUAGCCUGGGGAGGGACAUGUUGUCUGUAACCUGUAACUAGCCUAGGGAGAGACAUGUUGUCUGUAACCUGUAACUAGCCUAGGGAGAGACAUGUUGUCUGUAACCUGUAACUAGCCUAGGGAGAGACAUGUUGUCUGUAACCUGUAACUAGCCUAGGGAGAGACAUGUUGUCUGUAACCUGUAACUAGCCUGGGGAGAGACAUGUUGUCUGUAACCUGUAACUAGCCUAGGGAGAGACAUGUUGUCUGUAACCUGUAACUAGCCUGGGGAGAGACAUGUUGUCUGUAACCUGUAACUAGCCUGGGGAGAGACAUGUUGUCUGUAACCUGUAACUAGCCUGGGGAGAGACAUGUUGUCUGUAACCUGUAACUAGCCUAGGGAGAGACCUGGCUGGCUUGCUUUAUUUAAAUGAAUGUAAUACACAUUGUUAUAUCCUUCUGGUUAAAUCCCAAAUGGCACCCUAUUCCCUACAUAGUGCACUACUUUUGACCAGGUCCCAUAGUGCUCUGUUCAAAAGUAGUGCACUUUAUAGGGAAUAGGGUGCCAUUUGGGCCAAAUAUAGGAUAAUUUGACUGUAGCCUUCUGCGUUGAGCAGAGACAACUUUUUCCUUGUUGGCACUUUAUCUGUUGGUUAGUAGGUGUUAUUAUAUUAUUGAACCUCUGGAGCCAUACGCUAUUGGGUUAGUCAGGCUGAUCAGCAAGUCUCAAUAAGGUGUUGGGAUCAACAAGUCUCAAUAAGGUGUUGGGUUAGUCAGACUGAUCAGCAAGUCUCAAUAAGGUGUUGGGUUAGUCAGGCUGAUCAACAAGUCUCAAUAAGGUGUUGGGUUAGUCAGACUGAUCAGAAAGUCUCAAUAAGGUGUUGGGAUCAACAAGUCUCAAUAAGGUGUUGGGUUAGUCAGACUGAUCAGCAAGUCUCAAUAAGGUGUUGGGUUAGUCAGGCUGAUCAACAAGUCUCAAUAAGGUGUUGGGUUAGUCAGGCUGAUCAGCAAGUCUCAAUAAGGUGUUGGGUUAGUCAGGCUGAUCAACAAGUCUCAAUAAGGUGUUGGGUUAGUCAGGCUGAUCAGAAAGUCUCAAGCCUCAAACACCUUAGUAAUAUAUUCUGUCCAUGGACUCAUGUUACUCAUUUUCACUGGGGGGUGCGUCCCAAAUGUCAACUCAUUCUACAUUUGACCAGGGCCCAUAUGGGGGAAUAGGAAGUCAUUAAUGACCAGGGCCCAUAUGGGGGAAUAGGAAGUCAUUAAUGACCAGGGCCCAUAUGGGGGAAUAGGAAGUCAUUAAUGACCAGGGCCCAUAUGGGGGAAUAGUGUGUUCUCAGAAGGUGAAGCCAGUAGUGGCCUACUGGGCCGAGGCUUUGAUGUUGCUUUCCUGUGGCGUUACUUCUUUAUUUUAUCCUUGGUGGGGUUUAUUUUAUGUAAAUCAAGGAGACGUGCUUUUGAUUUGUCUGUUGAGUGUAAGGGGUUGUCCCAAAUGUCACCCUAUUCCCUAUGUAGUGCAUUACUAUGGGCCCUAUUCCCUAUGUAGUGCGCUACUAUGGGCCCUAUUCCCUAUGUAGUGCGCUACUAUGGGCCCUAUUCCCUAUGUAGUGCGCUACUAUGGGCCCUAUUCCCUAUGUAGUGCGCUACUAUGGGCCCUAUUCCCAAUGUAGUGCGCUACUAUGGGCCCUAUUCCCUAUGUAGUGCGCUACUAUGGGCCCUAUUCCCUAUGUAGUGCGCCACUAUGGGCCCUAUUCCCUAUGUAGUGCGCCACUAUGGGCCCUAUUCCCUAUGUAGUGCGCUACUGUGGGCCCUAUUCCCUAUGUAGUGCUCUACUAUGGGCCCUAUUCCCUAUGUAGUGCUCUACUAUGGGCCCUAUUCCCUAUGUAGUGCUCUACUAUGGGCCCUAUUCCCUAUGUAGUGCACUAUAAAUGGAAUAAGGUGCCAUUAGGGAGACAAGCCAUCUCAGAACAUACGCUGUUAAACCAUUGAGUACAUAACUGUGCUGUUACAUAUUUAUAUAAUUUGUAAGUAUGCAUAUUGUAAUUAUUUUAUAUUUGUAUACAUGCACUAGUUUAUAAGUGUGCAUUAUUUUUUCGGGACAUGAAUCAAACUGACGUGUAAAAAAGUUGAAAAAAAUAAAGUACUUUUUUUGUUAACCUGUCUCUGUCUGUUUGUCUGGUCUGUUUGUCUGGUCUGUUUGUCUGGUCUGUUUGUCUGGUCUGUUUGUCUGGUCUGUUUGUCUGGUUUGGUCUGUCUGGUCUGUCUGUCUGGUCUGGUCUGUUUGUCUGGUUUGGUCUGUUUGUCUGGUUUGGUCUGUCUGGUCUGUCUGUCUGGUCUGUCUGUGUCUGGUUUGGUCUGUUUGUCUGGUCUGUCUGUCGAUCUUUGGCCAGGAUUCAAUCCAAGGCACGUUACAGGUCGACACUCUAAACAGCCGACAACGCUCCUCUAAAGGCAAUGUCCCCAGCGUUCACGGAGAUCACAUUCAUG